UGGGGAAUAUUGCACAAUGGGCGCAAGCCUGAUGCAGCCAUGCCGCGUGUGUGAAGAAGGCCUUCGGGUUGUAAAGCACUUUCAGCGGGGAGGAAGGCGAUAAGGUUAAUAACCUUGUCGAUUGACGUUACCCGCAGAAGAAGCACCGGCUAACUCCGUGCCAGCAGCCGCGGUAAUACGGAGGGUGCAAGCGUUAAUCGGAAUUACUGGGCGUAAAGCGCACGCAGGCGGUCUGUCAAGUCGGAUGUGAAAUCCCCGGGCUCAACCUGGGAACUGCAUCUGAUACUGGCAAGCUUGAGUCUCGUAGAGGGGGGUAGAAUUCCAGGUGUAGCGGUGAAAUGCGUAGAGAUCUGGAGGAAUACCCGUGGCGAAGGCGGCCCCCUGGACAAAGUCUGACGCUCAGGUGCGAAAGCGUGGGGAGCAAACAGG
RNAcentral lists this ribosomal RNA (429 nucleotides) under Chloroflexota bacterium. Its description in RNAcentral is "Chloroflexi bacterium partial 16S ribosomal RNA". It matches the Rfam family "Bacterial small subunit ribosomal RNA", at positions 355 to 776 of the family's 1533-position model. The record is from RNAcentral. Lineage: Bacteria; Bacillati; Chloroflexota.